This 387-nucleotide unclassified non-coding RNA is filed under the name soil metagenome. RNAcentral describes it as "partial contains 5.8S ribosomal RNA, internal transcribed spacer 2, and large subunit ribosomal RNA". The stretch from base 1 to 120 matches the Rfam family "5.8S ribosomal RNA", at positions 35 to 154 of the family's 154-position model. The record is from RNAcentral.
GAUGAAGAACGUAGCGAAAUGCGAUAAGUAAUGUGAAUUGCAGAAUUCAGUGAAUCAUCGAAUCUUUGAACGCACAUUGCGCCCAUUAGUAUUCUAGUGGACAUGCCUGUUCGAGCGUCAUUAAUUCCACUUAAGCCCUGCUUAGUGUUGGGAAUCUACUCUAGUGGUGCUACCCUGGAGCUACCCCUGAAAGGGGGCUGGCCCGGUAGCUACCCUGUAGUUCCUCAAAGAUAGUGCGCGGAGUUGCGUGGUCCUCUGAGCUUAGUAACUAUACACCUAGCUUUUGAGUGUCCCGCGGCGCCUGCCGUUUAAACCCCAUCUUUUAAUGGUUGACCUCGGAUCAGGUAGGAAUACCCGCUGAACUUAAGCAUAUCAAUAAGCGGAGGA